AGUGAACGCUGGCGAUAGGCCUAACACAUGCAAGUCGAACGGCAGCACAGUAAGAGCUUGCUCUUACGGGUGGCGAGUGGCGGACGGGUGAGGAAUACAUCGGAAUCUACUUUUUCGUGGGGGAUAACGUAGGGAAACUUACGCUAAUACCGCAUACGACCUACGGGUGAAAGCAGGGGAUCUUCGGACCUUGCGCGAUUGAAUGAGCCGAUGUCGGAUUAGCUAGUUGGCGGGGUAAAGGCCCACUAAGGCGACGAUCCGUAGCUGGUCUGAGAGGAUGAUCAGCCACACUGGAACUGAGACACGGUCCAGACUCCUACGGGAGGCAGCAGUGGGGAAUAUUGGACAAUGGGCGCAAGCCUGAUCCAGCCAUACCGCGUGGGUGAAGAAGGCCUUCGGGUUGUAAAGCCCUUUUGUUGGGAAAGAAAAGCAGCAGGUUAAUACCCCGCUGUUCUGACGGUACCCAAAGAAUAAGCACCGGCUAACUUCGUG
This 492-nucleotide ribosomal RNA is filed under the name uncultured bacterium. RNAcentral describes it as "partial 16S ribosomal RNA". It matches the Rfam family "Bacterial small subunit ribosomal RNA", at positions 29 to 507 of the family's 1533-position model. The record is from RNAcentral.